UAAACAUCGAUGGCCACAACACCCCUGCCAUCCGCCCGGGAACUACGAGCAUCAGCUUAAAACCCAAAGGACUUGGCGGUGCUUAAGAUCCACCUAGAGGAGCCUGUUCUAGAACCGAUAAUCCCCGUUCAACCUCACCCCUUCUUGCCCAUUCCGUCUAUAUACCGCCGUCGUCAGCUUACCCUUUGAGGGUAAAACAGUAAGCAAAAUUGGCAAAGCCCAAAACGUCAGGUCGAGGUGUAGCGUAUGAAGGGGGAAGCUUAUGGGCUACAUUCACUAUCAUAGUGAAAUACGGACGAUGAUGCUGAAACGCACAUCCAAAGGAGGAUUUAGCAGUAAGUGAGAAUCAGAGCGUCCCACUGAAACUGGCCCUAAAGCGCGCACACACCGCCCGUCACUCUCCCCGGGCUAAAAUUUACAUAUAUUUAAUACCCAGCACCUGCACAAGGGGAGGCAAGUCGUAACAUGGUAAGUGUACCGGAAGGUGCACUUGGAACAAC
RNAcentral lists this ribosomal RNA (500 nucleotides) under Parachanna obscura. RNAcentral describes it as "partial 12S ribosomal RNA". It matches the Rfam family "Bacterial small subunit ribosomal RNA", at positions 801 to 1527 of the family's 1533-position model. Lineage: Eukaryota; Metazoa; Chordata; Actinopteri; Anabantiformes; Channidae. The record is from RNAcentral.